CAAGCAAAGAGUACACGAGUGCAUUAUAAUAGGAGGAGUACGCACGUAUUCCAGGAGGCUGUCGGCCUCGGCGUCGAGGGGCGGGACAAAGGCGGAGUUCUUGCGGCCCGAGACAAUCUCGAGAACAACCACGCCGAAGCUGAAGACGUCGGCCUUGGUGGAGAGGUCGCCGUGCAUGAGGUACUCGGGCGCCAUGUACCCGUUAGUGCCGGCGACACGGGUAUGGACGCGAGAGUGACCAUCGCCGGCCUCGGGGAAGAGGCGGGCCAUGCCGAAGUCCGCGAUCUUGGGCACCCACCGGUCGUCCAGGAGGAUGUUGCUGGCCUUGAUGUCGCGGUGGAUGAUAGGCGUGUGCGCGUCCUCGUGGAGGUAGAGCAGGCCACGCGCCACGCCGACCACAACCUCGUGCCGCCGCGGCCAGGUCAGCUCCGCUCGUCGUGAUCGGUCGCUGUUGCUGCUGGCUGGACAUGACACAAGGGCAAGCAGUGUCAGCCUUAGAGGCUGAGAAGCAUAUGCAGAAUUGCAGAUAUAGCAGAGAUGAAUGUAACACAAAAGAAAGUAAGAAAAAAAGGACAAUGUCUGUGCGUCUCAUAAAGUCACAAAUCGGAAUAAAUGAUCCAGAAAUCGCUGUGGCAGAAAAAUAAAACGACAGCUUGUGAAUGGUGAGAAAAAAAUCGGCACAAUCCAACUUACGGUAGAAUCGUGAAAAGUUCCUUAAAGCACUUAGAAAUUUUCAAUACACUCAAAACUGAAUCGAGUAGUAGGGCUGGACAUUUGAUCUAUCGGAGUAAUUCGGUUCGGUCUAUUCGAAUUUUUGAAAUUUCGGGUUUUAAAAAAUAAGAACCGAAAUUUUUAAAAUAAUUUUAGGAACCGAACCUGAA
This 881-nucleotide unclassified non-coding RNA is filed under the name Zea mays. RNAcentral's name for it is "misc RNA Zm00001eb099330". Lineage: Eukaryota; Viridiplantae; Streptophyta; Magnoliopsida; Poales; Poaceae. The record is from RNAcentral.